Molecule: non-coding RNA, 208 nt
Organism: Pelobates cultripes (western spadefoot toad)
Lineage: Eukaryota; Metazoa; Chordata; Amphibia; Anura; Pelobatidae
Source: the annotation of a GenBank genome assembly
CCUACACUGGAAAGAGUGUUUUCCUGUUUUUCCAGAGAGCAUUUCUAAGUCCUAUAUAGAAUAUAUUGCACUACUAAUCUCGAAGAUGGACUAUGUCAAGAGAGGAAUUGUGUGUAUAUCUGUCAUGUGUCAGAAUAUAAAAACAGUUAAAAAAAAGAUGACCAGGUCAUGAAGAGAUGUUGAUAACAUACACAAUGCUGGAUUACUG